UUGUAGUGGUGGUGUAGUGGUGUUUACAAGUAAUUGAUCACAACCAGUUAUAGAUUCCUUUAUUCCUUCUCCACUCCCACUGCUUCACUUGACCAGAAAAAA
RNAcentral lists this small RNA (102 nucleotides) under Propithecus coquereli (Coquerel's sifaka). Its description in RNAcentral is "Y RNA (ENSPCOG00000003744.1)". The record is from RNAcentral. Lineage: Eukaryota; Metazoa; Chordata; Mammalia; Primates; Indriidae.